Molecule: ribosomal RNA, 253 nt
Filed under: uncultured bacterium
Lineage: Bacteria
Description: partial 16S ribosomal RNA
Rfam family: Bacterial small subunit ribosomal RNA
Source: RNAcentral
UACGGGGGGGGCAAGCGUUGUUCGGAAUUACUGGGCGUAGAGGGCGCGUAGGCGGUUGGAUAAGUCAGCUGUGAAAACCACGGGCUUAACUCGUGGCCUGCAGUUGAGACUGUCUGGCUUGAGUGUGGGAGAGGAGAGUGGAAUUCCUGGUGUAGCGGUGAAAUGCGUAGAUAUCAGGAGGAACACCGGUGGCGAAGGCGGCUCUCUGGACCACAACUGACGCUGAGGCGCGAAAGCUAGGGGAGCAAACAGG